UGGAAGAUCUCCUUAUGAUCGGAGUCCAGCUCCAGCUACAGCUCAUCGUGGAAGAUCUCCUUAUGACCGGAGCCCAGCUUCAGCUCACCGUGGUAGAUCUCCUUAUGAUCGGAGUCCACCUCCGACUACAGCUCACCGUGGAAGAUCUCCUUAUGAUCGGAGUCCACCUCCGACUACAGCUCACCGUGGAAGAUCUCCUUAUGAUCGGAGCCGUUACCAAGAGCAUAGAAAUGGUAGUCCUAGUUAUUCUGACCGGUCACCACAAGAUCAAAAUAGGUACCAUGAUAGAAGAGAGAGGACUCCAAACUUCCAGGAG
Molecule: long non-coding RNA, 316 nt
Filed under: Daucus carota (carrot)
Lineage: Eukaryota; Viridiplantae; Streptophyta; Magnoliopsida; Apiales; Apiaceae
Description: long non-coding RNA (DCAR_LNC004428)
Source: RNAcentral